This 790-nucleotide ribosomal RNA is filed under the name uncultured Staphylococcus sp. RNAcentral describes it as "bacterial SSU rRNA". It matches the Rfam family "Bacterial small subunit ribosomal RNA", at positions 129 to 905 of the family's 1533-position model. The record is from RNAcentral. Lineage: Bacteria; Bacillati; Bacillota; Bacilli; Caryophanales; Staphylococcaceae.
CCUAUAAGACUGGGAUAACUUCGGGAAACCGGAGCUAAUGCCGGAUAACAUUUGGAACCGCAUGGUUCUAAAGUGAAAGAUGGUUUUGCUAUCACUUAUAGAUGGACCCGCGCCGUAUUAGCUAGUUGGUAAGGUAACGGCUUACCAAGGCAACGAUACGUAGCCGACCUGAGAGGGUGAUCGGCCACACUGGAACUGAGACACGGUCCAGACUCCUACGGGAGGCAGCAGUAGGGAAUCUUCCGCAAUGGACGAAAGUCUGACGGAGCAACGCCGCGUGAGUGAUGAAGGUUUUCGGAUCGUAAAACUCUGUUAUUAGGGAAGAACAAAUGUGUAAGUAACUGUGCACAUCUUGACGGUACCUAAUCAGAAAGCCACGGCUAACUACGUGCCAGCAGCCGCGGUAAUACGUAGGUGGCAAGCGUUAUCCGGAAUUAUUGGGCGUAAAGCGCGCGUAGGCGGUUUCCUAAGUCUGAUGUGAAAGCCCACGGCUCAACCGUGGAGGGUCAUUGGAAACUGGGAAACUUGAGUACAGAAGAGGAAAGUGGAAUCCCAUGUGUAGCGGUGAAAUGCGCAGAGAUAUGGAGGAACACCAGUGGCGAAGGCGACUUUCUGGUCUGUAACUGACGCUGAUGUGCGAAAGCGUGGGGAUCAAACAGGAUUAGAUACCCUGGUAGUCCACGCCGUAAACGAUGAGUGCUAAGUGUUAGGGGGUUUCCGCCCCUUAGUGCUGCAGCUAACGCAUUAAGCACUCCGCCUGGGGAGUACGACCGCAAGGUUGAAACUCAAA